RNAcentral lists this unclassified non-coding RNA (1375 nucleotides) under uncultured Neocallimastigales. RNAcentral's name for it is "partial contains small subunit ribosomal RNA, internal transcribed spacer 1, 5.8S ribosomal RNA, internal transcribed spacer 2, and large subunit ribosomal RNA". The stretch from base 603 to 1375 matches the Rfam family "Eukaryotic large subunit ribosomal RNA", at positions 1 to 628 of the family's 3401-position model. The record is from RNAcentral. Lineage: Eukaryota; Fungi; Neocallimastigomycota; Neocallimastigomycetes; Neocallimastigales.
UUUCCGUAGGUGAACCUGCGGAAGGAUCAUUAAAAAAUGAGACCUGAUUUUCAAGGUCUGUUAAUAAUCCUACCCUUUGUGAAUUUGUUUUGUUUUAAUAUGUGUCUUUCCCUGGUUUUUGAUGGAGCUUGUUUAAAGCAAAAUCAAUCCAGGGGAAUGGCAAAACUUUUUUUUAAAUUAAACUUUUUGUAUUCAUUUGUCUAAAAUUAUUUUUAUAAUAUAAAAACAACUUUUGACAAUGGAUCUCUUGGUUCUCGCAACGAUGAAGAACGCAGCAAAAUGCGAUAGUAGUGUGAAUUGCAGAAUACGUGAAUCAUCGAAUCUUCGAACGCAUAUUGCACUUUUUUAGUUUACAAAAAAGUAUGUCUGUUUGAGUAUCAGUAAAAUAUUCUCAUAAAAACUAUUGUUUUUAUGGUUAUGAGUGUUUUACAACGAUAACAAGUUGUUUCACUUUAAAUUCUUUGUCUUCUAAAAAAUCAUUAAAAACUGAUUUUUUUUUAAAAUUGGAUAAAAUUUUCCCGUAAAAAGGAAUAACCUAAACAAUUUUAAUUAAAUUGGUUUGAUUUCUUUUAAGACUUAAAGGAAAAAAGUAAAAAUUAACUUGAUCUCAAAUCAGAUAAGAGUACCCGCUGAACUUAAGCAUAUCAAUAAGCGGAGGAAAGAAACUAACUAGGAUUCCCUCAGUAACGGCGAGUGAAGCGGGAAGAGCUCAAAUUUGAAAUCUUCAAGGUUCUACCUUGACGAAUUGUAGUUUAAAGAAGUGUUUUCUGUUGGAGUUUUGGUAAAAGUUCUUUGGAAUAGGACAUCAUAGAGGGUGAGAAUCCCGUAUUUGACCAUUAUUUCCAACUUUGUGAUACACUUUCAAAGAGUCGGAUUGUUUGGGAUGCAGUCCAAAAUGGGUGGUAAAUUUCAUCUAAAGCUAAAUACUGGCGAGAGACCGAUAGCGAACAAGUACCGUGAGGGAAAGAUGAAAAGACUUUGAGAAGAGAGUUAAACAGUACGUGAAAUUGUCAAAAGGGAAGCGUUUGACACCAGUGUUGUUUUCUCGAAAAUCAAUUAAAAAUGAUGGGAUUUUGUGUUGUAUUGACUUUAUCAGCUUUCUGCACUUUUUUCCUGUCUUUUUUAAUGCACUUUUCGUUUAACAAGUCAACAUCAAUUUCUUUUGCUGUAAAAGAGUCAUUGGAAGGUGGCUUUCUUUCGGAGAAAGUGUUUAUAGCCUUUGACUUCUGCAAUCGGAGAGAUUGAGGUCUGCAGCGUAGAUCCUUCGGGGUUAGAUACAUUUGUGCUAAGCUAUAGUCUUUAUAGACAACUUGUUGACUAUAAUCAAUCAUGUAGCUUACUCGCUUAUGCUAUCUUACCUACGCUUAGGAUGUUG